RNAcentral lists this long non-coding RNA (336 nucleotides) under Helianthus annuus (common sunflower). Its description in RNAcentral is "sRNA HanXRQr2_Chr14g0659411". The record is from RNAcentral. Lineage: Eukaryota; Viridiplantae; Streptophyta; Magnoliopsida; Asterales; Asteraceae.
GAAGUAGAGAAGAAAUAUUACUUUAUGGUUUGACUAUUCAAAAGCCUACCAUUGUUAUACAAUUACGAUGUCUUUUUUUCAAAAUCAUGUUUUUUUAGAGAGGAGUAAACUCUGCCGCCGAUGAUGGUGGAGAUGGUGUUGGUGAGCAGCACAGAUUUGUGAUUGUGAUUUCAGUCAAGGAACCAGAUCUGGAUCUGACUGACUGGACGAAUUUUGUGAUUGUGUAUCUAUAUAUUAAAUACAUGUGGUUAGGGUUCUAGGGUUGGGGAAUUGAGGAUUGGGGAAUUGGGGAAGAUAAUGCAUAUAUGUAAUUAUUAUUGGUUUUAUUUAUUAAUA